UGUUAAGGCUAGGGGGUCAUCCCGACUUACCAACCCUUUGCAAACUCCGAAUACCAAUGAGUGAUAUGCGGGAGACACACUACGGGUGCUAACGUCCGUUGUGAAGAGGGAAACAACCCAGACCGCCAGCUAAGGUCCCAAAGUACUAGUUAAGUGGGAAACGAUGUGGAAAGGCAUAGACAGCUAGGAGGUUGGCUUAGAAGCAGCCAUCCUUUAAAGAAAGCGUAAUAGCUCACUAGUCGAGUCGGUCUGCGCGGAAGAUGUAACGGGGCUAAACUAGUCACCGAAGCUGCGGAUUCAUAAUUUAUUAUGAGUGGUAGGGGAGCGUUCUGUAAGCCGUUGAAGGUGUGUUGUAAAGCAUGCUGGAGGUAUCAGAAGUGCGAAUGCUGACAUGAGUAACGAUAAGGGGAGUGAAAAACUCCCCCGCCGAAAGACCAAGGUUUCCUGUCCCAUGUUAAUCAGGGCAGGGUAAGUCGGCCCCUAAGGCGAGGCGGAAACGCGUAGUCGAUGGGAAACAGAUUAAUAUUUCUGUACUUCUAUAUAUUGCGAAGGAGGGACGGAGUAGGCUAGGUGAGCACGGCGUUGGUAGUCCGUGUGAAAGUAUGUAGGCGGUUGACUUAGGUAAAUCCGGGUCUUCAUUAACGCUGAGAUACGAGACGAGUGUCCAAGGACAUGAAGUCAUUGAUGCCAUGCUUCCAGGAAAAGCUUCUAAGCUUCAGAUAUAUAGGAACCGUACCCCAAACCGACACAGGUGGUUAGGUAGAGAAUACUAAGGCGCUUGAGAGAACUCGGGUGAAGGAACUAGGCAAAAUAGUACCGUAACUUCGGGAGAAGGUACGCUCUCUAAUGUGAAUGACUUGCUCAGUAAGCAUCGGAGAGUCGAAGUAACCAGGUGGCUGGAACUGUUUAUUAAAAACACAGCACUGUGCAAAAUCGAAAGAUGACGUAUACGGUGUGACGCCUGCCCGGUGCCGGAAGGUUAAUUGAUUGGGUUAGCUCUGCGAAGCUCAUGAUCGAAGCCCCGGUAAACGGCGGCCGUAACUAUAACGGUCCUAAGGUAGCGAAAUUCCUUGUCGGGUAAGUUCCGACCUGCACGAAUGGCGUAACGAUGGCCACACUGUCUCCACCCGAGACUCAGUGAAAUUGAAAUUGCGGUUAAGAUGCCGUAUACCCGCGGCUAGACGGAAAGACCCCGUGAACCUUUACUAUAGCUUGACAGUGAACAUUGCUCCUACAUGUGUAGGAUAGGUGGGAGGCUUUGAAACUUUGUCGCCAGAUGAAGUGGAGCCAACCUUGAAAUACCACCCUUGUAUGCGUGAUGUUCUAACCUAGGGCCCUAAUCGGGCUUGGGGACACUGUCUGGUGGGUAGUUUGACUGGGGCGGUCUCCUCCUAAAGAGUAACGGAGGAGCACGAAGGUUGGCUAAGUACGGUCGGACAUCGUACGGU
RNAcentral lists this ribosomal RNA (1448 nucleotides) under seawater metagenome. RNAcentral describes it as "bacterial LSU rRNA". It matches the Rfam family "Bacterial large subunit ribosomal RNA", at positions 911 to 2346 of the family's 2925-position model. The record is from RNAcentral.